RNAcentral lists this small RNA (38 nucleotides) under Plasmodium falciparum 3D7. RNAcentral's name for it is "Pfa-starR6886". Lineage: Eukaryota; Apicomplexa; Aconoidasida; Haemosporida; Plasmodiidae. The record is from RNAcentral.
GUUGAGUGAUGUGAAGUUAGUAGAUGAUGUUAGAGGUA